UCGGUAGUAGUUUACAAUAAAACAUAUGGAUUUGAACCAUAAAAUAUAAUUAAUAUUUUCUAUCGAU
This 67-nucleotide transfer RNA is filed under the name Ciona intestinalis (vase tunicate). RNAcentral's name for it is "tRNA (ENSCING00000025209.1)". RNAcentral also lists the same sequence under 1 other name. The record is from RNAcentral. Lineage: Eukaryota; Metazoa; Chordata; Ascidiacea; Phlebobranchia; Cionidae.